Molecule: long non-coding RNA, 1431 nt
Organism: Peromyscus maniculatus bairdii (prairie deer mouse)
Lineage: Eukaryota; Metazoa; Chordata; Mammalia; Rodentia; Cricetidae
Source: RefSeq, a predicted model, not a curated record
AUUUGUGUUGCAUGAGAAAGCAUCUUCCUUGAAUAUACAUGUGUGUAGGAACCAAUGAAGGCCAGAAGAGUAUUCCCUGGAGAUGGAGUUACAGGCAGUCGUGAGUGGCCGUGAGAGGGCUGAAAACUGAACCGAACCCCCUGUAAGAGCAAUAGGUGUUCUGACCACUGAGCUAUCUCUCCAGUCCCAUGUGUCUACUAUUAAAACAUACAUCUUACCAAAUUCAAUUUGACCUAGUACCCAUUCCAAAUUGGACAAGUUUUUCCCCUAUUCAAAGAAUCAGAAACAGAAAAAUGUGCACUCUGUGAAUUAGUGAUAACCAAACAGCUCUUGUGUUGUAGGAAAUGCAAUCCUGUUGUGCUCAGUUUUCUUGGAUUAUCCCUGGGAAUCCAUUCUCUUCCCUUCUCUGCCCAGCUCUGGGCUGACAUAUGUACCUCUCCAGUGUUCCUCGGACAGUGCCAUGACUCCGACAGGAGGUGCAUCCUUCCAGAUUUACACCUUCUCUUCAAAGGACUCUUCCUCAAGAUGUCCAGCAAUUCCUGGAGUCCCUAGGACAUUAUUUCCGUCUCUUGCUAUUGAAGCUCAAGGAGUUGUAUGGUUACCCUUCAUUUCUGGCUUGUCAGGAUCAUUCUUUGUUGUUCCUUCAAUUGUGCUACAUCUCUGCCAAGAUUCAACUGCAAGCUGUAGACUUGAAAAGACAGGACUUCCUGUUGUCCUACAGCCCCUACUUUACAGAUAAGCAAACAGAAAGGAUUUCAGCUUCCACAAAACCAAGGACAGAAUCCACUUUCUGUGAUAGCAGAAGGUCUUUCCGGACUCUGAAGCAGUCAGGAAGGAAAGGUACAUUUCAGAAUUCAGGGUCUUGAGCAUGUGAGGAUUGGACAUUUCCCGAGGUUCAUUGCCACCAGUUUGGAAGAUCCUGCCUUUAGCAGAUCAUGCUUUGUGACCGAGAAUGUGUGAAAACCAUCUCUAAAUAAGAGCAUAUCUUGAUGAAUCCCUUGAAUCCCAGCCAAGUCCAGCAAUUCAAAAUUGUGCGUUUUACAACCUAUUUCUGCUGAAGAAUCUUCACAGUGGUUCCUUGUUGCCCUCACCACUAGGAACAAAAUCCUUGUUCUACAUUCCCGCUGAAGUUAAUGGAGGCUUGGAAAGCCUGAGAGUAAAUUUUUUAUAAAUCCUGGCUUGUAUGUUCCCAUUGCAAUUAGUGAGGAUUAGGAUGCUAUACUAGAUUUCUGUUGGUAGAGGGAAAGUAACCUUAGUUCCUUUGGCUAAUUUGUGACAAAGAAGCAUUCUUGACUUUAACCAAUGAAAUCAUGCCCGUUUGUAAAUGGAUUAGUACAGAAUUUGCCUAGCUGCUUUUUUCCCUUCCUACUUCAACUAUACUUGCUAUGGGUUUAAAAAAAUGCAUGAGAGCCGGGCGGUGGUGGCACACGC